This 2106-nucleotide long non-coding RNA is filed under the name Androctonus crassicauda. Lineage: Eukaryota; Metazoa; Arthropoda; Arachnida; Scorpiones; Buthidae. The record is from RNAcentral.
CUUACACAGUCUCCACUACAACGUCCGCCAUCUUGAAACGACGGCACCUCCCGAUGACGUCAGCGCCAAGUGACGUAGCGGAAAAGGAGAAGGUUUGGUCCAAUGGCUGGACGGAAUAGCUAACCGAGUGAGAAAGCUCGGCCGAGCCGUAGUCGGAUACUUAUGGCACUUUUUCGAUGGGAAUAGGUCGGAGGAAUUGUGGGAAACGAUAAAAGAGGUGGGGUGGCAGGCAACCAAUCUGCGGCCGGCAAAUCAACAACCGGACAAACAGGUCGGUUUCGCCUCCCCUCUUAAUAGUCCGCGUCGCUCGCUCAAGGACACGCCGCCAGAAAAGACCUCAAGGACAGGCGAUCCAUCCGGCCGGCAGCCAGUCGAUCGGGAUAACUCGGCUCGGCCGAAGUGCGUGAAAGCCACGUGAGUGUUCAGACGUCGGAGUGCAUCCGAGACCCGAAAGCGGAUCAAACAGAAGAAAUAUAUUCGAUGGAUCCGCUGGUCCAUUCUAAGAAAGUGAUUCUGUGUCGUUUUCACGCUAGUGAAGCAGCUGCGGUUCUGGCCAGCGCGCCCUGUAGAAUUUUUACCAGUGGACAACAUCGGAGAGCAUCACUAGACAUGUGGCAACACUCCGUAUUUCUCGUUUUCCUCCACUUCAUUAGAUGGCGCCACGGCAGACUUCCCAGAAAGAUCUAUCCGCCAUAUGACAUCCGGAUGCCAAUGGCAGUGUUUCUUCCUCUCUUGUAUAUUGCCUAAUAAUUUUGCUUUCCGUUAACCGAGGUCACGGUCGAAUAGAGUAGCGUAGACUUACGUCAUGCGAAAAUUUCUUCCUGCAUUUCGACCGUCCCUGCCAGCUCCUCGCCUCAAUUAAGUAACCAGCUGACAACGACCUAAUGCGUGCCAUCGGAACACGGAAACCUGGAUAUUGAGAAACCGGGAACAAAGACGGAAACGGAUAAGUGGCAAUCCCGCUGUCAGAGACCCUGGCGCUGGGGUUUAAUCCGUACAUGUCGGGAAGGCAACAAAAGGUUUCACGGACCGUGAUCGUCCACAAUAAGGCAAACAUCUGGUGAAAGCGCCGACCAGCGGUACCGGCUCAUUUCGCCCAUGGUAGCGUUUUGUUCCAACUUGCCACGCCAGUGUCCAAUUGCCUCCUUUGCCCAUCCAUUAGACUUUGUUCCUCUGGCAACUUAACAGUCGCACCGAUUGCUGUUAACACCAAAUUUUUAUUUCUUUUAAACGAAUCUGCGGCAAACUUUUUCGUGUCAAUGGUGGCGCUGCGCCGAGUAAACAAACAUCGGAAACAUCCGCCAGUAGUAUAUUUUCCCCCUGAAAGAUGACACUAAAACAUCCUUGGAUGACACUAUGGCCGCCAUUAGGCGCUAAAUAAACUCGUACCGGGAAUGUUUGAAGAGAAGGAAGCUUCUCGAGUCAAUACUAAGUUUUUAUACGGAUUUUUAACAGGAUCGCCUACCAUGAUUCUGAUAUAUUUGAGUUUAGAAGAGGAAAAUCCACUAGAAGAGAGCUGUCAGUAUUCCAUUGUAAAAGGUCACGACGGGUGGCAUUGAUGGACAGGUUUCGUGCUAAGUAACUUAGAAAAAUAACGUAAUUAACGCUGUUUUGUGCCCGCUUUGGCAUGGUAUAAACAAACAAAUUAACAUGGCCUGGAGGGAGAAUAAAACAAACGAGUUGGAUUAAACACUGGCUCGUUAAUACAGAUUAAUCUACUUCAUCGAAUUUCUACGCGUGGUAGUUGGUAUGCCUUUUUCAUUGCACGGAUUGUUGGCAUUCCCGAUUAACGCGAAGGCUAAACUUAUAAAAAAAAAUUCACUGUCUAAUGUCGUCCGACAUGUAAUUUCGAUCCGACUAGAGCACUUUGUCCAGUCUGCACAAGGAAUGUUGAUGCCAAAGCACUCCCGUGUUCAACAGUGUUAAUUUUCUGUGCGCAACUGUAAUUGUAUCGGAUUUAUAACAGCAAUUCAUCGCCUUUGGAGAUGUGUCCGAUUCCCACAUUCCAGCCAUGUCGACCCGGUAAUAGGACCGACUCCUAUCAUCUUGUCGAAGGAUUUUUUUUUUUUUUUUAUUGAAUCUGGAGGGAUUCGCUCUGAAUUGCUG